This 847-nucleotide long non-coding RNA is filed under the name Bos taurus (domestic cattle). Its description in RNAcentral is "long non-coding RNA NONBTAT013772". Lineage: Eukaryota; Metazoa; Chordata; Mammalia; Artiodactyla; Bovidae. The record is from RNAcentral.
GGUGACUAAGUUAUUUCUGUUAUUUCCCAGAUUUUGAAUUCACCCCCCACCCACCAAGAUAAAACAUUCUUUGCUUGUCCCUGUGAUUUCCUUACUAGUCUGUUUUAUUUCUUUUCCAAAGGCUCUUUUUGCCCCAAUUGAAAUUGAUUAUUCAGCUCAGGCUUAUUGAGUCCUAAAUUAGGUUGAUGUUCACAGGGAAUAUUUAUUUUCAUUCUACUUUUUCAGUCAGCUUUUCUACACCCUCCUACUUAAGGUUAGUUGCUGGUAUGCUCCAUACAGUUCUGUUUUGAACCUUAGUCUUACAUGCUUUUUUACCCCCCUCUUCUGGAAAUAUGGAUUAUGAUUAUUUUAUUUCUGUUAGCAUCAGGGUCUUUCUCCAGAUCUGAUGUUCUCUCAAAAGCCUGCAUGUUGUGAUCUGUACCAAAGUGAGUUAUUGGCCCGUGUUUGCUCAUUUCCUUUAUUUUGAGUCUUUCCUGUGGUUGGAAUCAUUCGUGAUACUACUGAUCAUUAAUCCUGUACUCUGAGGAUAUGAAUAUGAUUUUUUUUCUAGUUCCAGAGAUGCACUCCAGCUUUGCAUUUUGGUUGGCAAAAUGACCAGAGCUUGGACAAAAGGCCAUGAGUGACACACAAACACAGGCCUGAAAUUAUCGUAUUACAGAACAGUUACCACGUUCGUGUGAAUGGCUAAGCAAAGGUCAAAAAUAUGAGCAACAUUAUUUAUGGCUCAGUGAGUGAUUUGAUAUUCACAGUCUGUCAUCAUUUGUCAGAAGACUGGUAUUAUCAAAACUGUGCCAGGCUAAGGACUAUCUAAAAAAUGAUUUGAGACAAGCUCAGUAUACAGUAAAAA